This 107-nucleotide small nuclear RNA is filed under the name Carlito syrichta (Philippine tarsier). The record is from RNAcentral. Lineage: Eukaryota; Metazoa; Chordata; Mammalia; Primates; Tarsiidae.
GUGCUCACUUUGGCAGCACAUGUACUAAAAUUGGAACGAUACAGAGAAGAAUAGAAUGGCCCCUGCGCAAGGAUGACACGCAAAUUCGUGAAGCAUUCCAUAUUUUU